GUUGUGACUCAGUGGCAGAGCACUUGCCUAGCACAUAUGAGGCCCUGGGUUCGAUCCUCAACACCACA
This 68-nucleotide transfer RNA is filed under the name Marmota monax (woodchuck). Its description in RNAcentral is "tRNA.Ala". The record is from RNAcentral. Lineage: Eukaryota; Metazoa; Chordata; Mammalia; Rodentia; Sciuridae.